This 107-nucleotide small nucleolar RNA is filed under the name Theobroma cacao (cacao). RNAcentral's name for it is "Plant small nucleolar RNA R71". It matches the Rfam family "Plant small nucleolar RNA R71". Rfam says of the family: R71 is a member of the C/D box family of snoRNAs containing the C (UGAUGA) and D (CUGA) box motifs. Lineage: Eukaryota; Viridiplantae; Streptophyta; Magnoliopsida; Malvales; Malvaceae. The record is from Rfam by way of RNAcentral.
AUCCCAUGAUAUGGGUAUCUUUGCAGUAAUUCUUUAAAUCUCUCCCAAGCCUCAUACAAGGACUCACCAUCAAAUUGUGUGAAUGAGGUGAUAUAGUUCCUCAACUU